UGGGGAAUAUUGCACAAUGGGCGCAAGCCUGAUGCAGCCAUGCCGCGUGUAUGAAGAAGGCCUUCGGGUUGUAAAGUACUUUCAGCGAGGAGGAAGGCAUUAAGGUUAAUAACCUUGGUGAUUGACGUUACUCGCAGAAGAAGCACCGGCUAACUCCGUGCCAGCAGCCGCGGAAAUACGGAGGGUGCAAGCGUUAAUCGGAAUUACUGGGCGUAAAGCGCACGCAGGCGGUCUGUCAAGUCGGAUGUGAAAUCCCCGGGCUCAACCUGGGAACUGCAUUCGAAACUGGCAGGCUAGAGUCUUGUAGAGGGGGGUAGAAUUCCAGGUGUAGCGGUGAAAUGCGUAGAGAUCUGGAGGAAUACCGGUGGCGAAGGCGGCCCCCUGGACAAAGACUGACGCUCAGGUGCGAAAGCGUGGGGAGCAAACA
This 427-nucleotide ribosomal RNA is filed under the name uncultured bacterium. Its description in RNAcentral is "partial 16S ribosomal RNA". It matches the Rfam family "Bacterial small subunit ribosomal RNA", at positions 355 to 774 of the family's 1533-position model. The record is from RNAcentral.